GUUCAACGGCCGCGGUAUCCUAACCGUGCAAACGUGUCAUAAUCAUUUGCACCAUUAUUGUGGGCUAAAAUGAAAGGACCAACGAAAUAAAGACUGUCUCUAUAAGCAAAAUAAAAAUUAAUCUCUAACUGAAGAGUGUUAGAUUAUGUCGAAGGACAAGAAGACCCUAUAGAGCUUAAUUCUUAUAAAAAUAUAUAUUUUAAUAAAAUUCGGUUGGGGCGACCAGGGAAUACAAAUCAUCCCUAUUCAAAAGAUACAUAAAUCUUGAAAAUGACCCUUAAACAAGAUCACAAAAACAAGCUACCUUAGGGAUAACAGGCUAAUCCCAUUAAAGAGUUCUUAUCAAUAGUGGGGGUUGGCACCUCGAUGUUGGCUUAGGGAAUCUAUACGGCGCAAAAGUCGUAUAAAGAUGGUUUGUUCAACCAAUAACCCCUACAUGAGCUGAGUUCAGACCGGCGUAAGCCAGGUUAGUUUCUAUCCUCGAUAAAAUUACCUAUCUAUAGUACGAAAGGACCUAAAUAAGGGCAAUAAUUACAAUAAAAGAAUAAAUUUAAAAAAUUAAUAAUUAAAAAAUUCAUAAACUAUGAUAGUGAGUUGGCAGAAUAGUGCCACUGAUUUAGGAUCAGUUCAUGGGCAUUGCCCACUUACUAAAUAUGCAAUUUAGUUUAAUUAGAACAAUCAAUUUGCACUUGAUAAGUGAGAUAUUUCAAUAGCGGCUUGACGUUUUGGAAACACUGGACCUUGAACGUCCACUUUAGAUGUUCAACUCAUCUUC
Molecule: ribosomal RNA, 775 nt
Filed under: Eiseniella tetraedra
Lineage: Eukaryota; Metazoa; Annelida; Clitellata; Crassiclitellata; Lumbricidae
Description: partial large subunit ribosomal RNA
Rfam family: Bacterial large subunit ribosomal RNA (bases 1-501)
Source: RNAcentral